RNAcentral lists this long non-coding RNA (1527 nucleotides) under Musa acuminata (dwarf banana). RNAcentral's name for it is "long non-coding RNA (MACU_LNC009128)". Lineage: Eukaryota; Viridiplantae; Streptophyta; Magnoliopsida; Zingiberales; Musaceae. The record is from RNAcentral.
GGCAAAGUAACUACUAGACAAGUAAAGGAGACUUAUCUACUCCCCCGCUUGAUGCUACUACUGAUGAAACUUUACCACUCCACUACUACUAGUUUGGGCUGUAAACCAUAGAACUUGAACUGGCAAUUAUCCCGUAAUAUAAGUAGGGCGACUGGAACUGGCCAUUCACUUAGAGCUUCAAAGCAUGGAAUUUCUUUCUCUUCUGCCCCAACUAGAGCAUCAAUUGGUUAUUAGAGUUCGGGUGCGAUAAAGCCUUUCCGGGCAGUAAGAAUAGGGUGCAAAUGAAUUCUUUCAAAUAUGGAUCUUUUUUGAUAAGUAUUUCCCAUCAACACUAAAGAAGUGAUUCAAUAGUUCAUUUGAAACGCAUAUAGUGAGGGUUGUUCCGGGCAGACUAUCUUACCUGGGCGUGUUUCAUUCAGUAUUAGUAGUUGUCCAGUCGAAUCUGUAUUUGUUUACAGAGCAGAGGUAUAGUAUAGGAGGUGUAGUAUAGUAGUCCUGUUUCAUAAGAGGUAGCAUAGAAAUGAUAAGAGAGGAGCCAGAGGCAGAUGAGCCAUAGGGUAUAUGUUGGUCACAACUGCAAUUAACAUAUUUUUCCUUACUUGUUAUGAGUUUUUGACUACUGGGCACAGGAAUAGAGGACACAUAAUCAAUCCUUACCUUACAGGCACUAGCUAAUCAAUCUAUACCUUAUAGCACUUUCUUGCGUUAGUCAGGAUACCGCACAGCAGCUGCUUCUUCCCUUCGCCCAGCUUUCACUUCAUCUUUAUCUCGCCUCUUUCUCUUGUCUUGCUUAGUCGACUUUGAAGUUCAUCAUUUGCAUAUCUCUUUAAUCGAGCACCAAUGAUAGAAGUGAGUAAAGCCACACACGGAUUGAAUUGACUUACUGCAACACAAGCUUUGCUUCGUUUAAGAACGAAUUGAGGCCACGCACAACUGUUUUGUGAAGAGAGAUUCUUUCUACGAUAUUUGCAACAGCUCCAGCUUAUUAGUUUCGGGGCUACCCAUCUUGUUUUUCUUUAUGAGUAACCAACCACUACGGUUGGGCUGUCAACCAUGAUUUCUACUCGGGAUGCCACUAGAACAGGCAAUGAUACUGCAGCAUCGCCUGCUUAUUCGAAUCUAUCAUAUAUCUUGAAAGAUUGUUGGAACUGUCAAUUCUUCAUAUCCAGCUUCCAAGCUUGCUGCUUCCCUGGCUUUUGCUUUUGCCGAACAAGACAACACUCUAAGGCAGGGAACUUCCCAGUGUUCUAGAGUUAUGAGCGCCCUUCCCAGUGUUCUAGAGUUAUGAGCAAGUAUGUAUGUGGUUAGGCCAAGCUACUACUACAAACGCAAGACUUGUUAAUACCUGAGUUCUAAUGAGUUAUGAGCAAGUAAGGUAUUCAUGGCGUCAGUCCGAUCUACUCUUGAAGCAGAGGGAAAGUUGUCAGCAUCAGAUGGAGCACUAACGACAAUUGCAUCAGAUGGAGCUGAGCUGGUGAGGAAGGUGGAGAGGAAGCUGUUCGAGUCAAGUCCACCAAGUAACUACUA